RNAcentral lists this ribosomal RNA (492 nucleotides) under uncultured bacterium. RNAcentral's name for it is "partial 16S ribosomal RNA". It matches the Rfam family "Bacterial small subunit ribosomal RNA", at positions 29 to 507 of the family's 1533-position model. The record is from RNAcentral.
AGUGAACGCUGGCGGUAGGCCUAACACAUGCAAGUCGAACGGCAGCACAGUAAGAGCUUGCUCUUACGGGUGGCGAGUGGCGGACGGGUGAGGAAUACAUCGGAAUCUUCUUUUUCGUGGGGGAUAACGUAGGGACACUUACGCUAAUACCGCAUACGACCUACGGGUGAAAGCAGGGGAUCUUCGGACCUUGCGCGUUAGAAUGAGCCGAUGUCGGAUUAGCUAGUUGGCUGGGUAAAGGCCCACCAAGGCGACGAUCCGUAGCUGGUCUGAGAGGAUGAUCAGCCACACUGGAACUGAGACACGGUCCAGACUCCUACGGGAGGCAGCAGUGGGGAAUAUUGGACAAUGGGCGCAAGCCUGAUCCAGCCAUACCGCGUGAGUGAAGAAGGCCUUCGGAUUGUAAAGCCCUUUUAUUGGGAAAGAAAAGCAGCAGGUGAAUACCCCGCUGUUCUGACGGUACCCAAAGAAUAAGCACCGGCUAACUUCGUG